Molecule: ribosomal RNA, 492 nt
Filed under: uncultured bacterium
Lineage: Bacteria
Description: partial 16S ribosomal RNA
Rfam family: Bacterial small subunit ribosomal RNA
Source: RNAcentral
AGUGAACGCUGGCGGUAGGCCUAACACAUGCAAGUCGAACGGCAGCACAGUAAGAGCUUGCUCUUACGGGUGGCGAGUGGCGGACGGGUGAGGAAUACAUCGGAAUCUACUUUUUCGUGGGGGAUAACGUAGGGAAACUUACGCUAAUACCGCAUACGACCUACGGGUGAAAGCAGGGGAUCUUCGGACCUUGCGCGAUUGAAUGAGCCGAUGUCGGAUUAGCUAGUUGGCGGGGUAAAGGCCCACCAAGGCGACGAUCCGUAGCUGGUCUGAGAGGAUGAUCGGCCACACUAGAACUGAGACACGGUCCAGACUCCUACGGGAGGCAGCAGUGUGGAAUAUUGGGCAAUGGGCGCAAGCCUGAUCCAGCCAGACCGCGUGUGUGAAGAAGGCGUUCGGGUUGUAAAGCCCUUUUGUGGGGAAAGAAAAGCAGCAGGUUAAUACCCCGCUGUUCUGACGGUACCCAAAGAAUAAGCACCGGCUAACUUCGUG